Long non-coding RNA from Siniperca chuatsi (mandarin fish), 805 nucleotides. RefSeq lists it as uncharacterized. The transcript has 3 exons. NCBI's taxonomy places the organism in Eukaryota, Metazoa, Chordata, Actinopteri, Centrarchiformes, Sinipercidae. The record is from RefSeq and is a predicted model, not a curated record.
GGUCAACAGUCAAGACUGCUUGGAAAAAUGCCGCAGGCAUGUGUAGCGUUUGGCUGCGCAAACAGACGAAACAUUCAAAACAGGCAUCGCGGGAUAACUUUUCACAAAUCAGUAAGGAGUCCAUGCACAAUAUCCACUCUACCUAUGCUGUCUACAUUUUUCCUGAGCUUGACUGGUUCUGGCUACACAUACUCACUGUACUGAAUGAACACAGACACUGAGGUCAGCAGUUCCAUGGAGCAAUGUGUUAUGUGGCGUACGGAGGAAUAGUGAAGAGCCUGAGCCUGAUGGGAAAAAAUGGAGGGCUUCAGUGGAAUGGGGAGCAUUGUGCUCGCAUUCUUUGGACUCUUGAUUUAUUUGGACUGAUAUGCUACUCAUCAGACCGCAGAUGCACAUAUGAAGUCCUGAAGACUUUCCUCGAUCUGGAUGGACAGAGGAUGUCGUCAAAGGGACAAUUCCUGAAAAACAAGCUGCUGGUGGAAGUGAGUUUGAAAAAGACUGAAAAUCAUGCAUAUAUCCUGAAGUAUUUAUCCGUAUCCCAGGUAGGUUGGGUUUUUCCACUGCACACUGUACAAAGUGUAAAGCUUUGAAAGCGCAGGAAAAAGUGAAAGAUAUCUCAAAGUAAUAUUUGAUAAAAAAAUUUAAUAAAAAAGAUUUCUAUCCUUAACCAAAUGGUAACACCUCUCGGUAUAACUCUGCUCAGCAUCACCACAAACUACAUCCUCUAAAAUGACCAUACAGUUAUAUCAGCAUCUCUCUAAAACAGUAGCAUCAAAAACUGAACAUUAGAACCUUUAUUAGAAUC